This 936-nucleotide ribosomal RNA is filed under the name Staphylococcus aureus. RNAcentral's name for it is "bacterial SSU rRNA". It matches the Rfam family "Bacterial small subunit ribosomal RNA", at positions 98 to 1020 of the family's 1533-position model. Lineage: Bacteria; Bacillati; Bacillota; Bacilli; Caryophanales; Staphylococcaceae. The record is from RNAcentral.
GCGGACGGGUGAGUAACACGUGGAUAACCUACCUAUAAGACUGGGAUAACUUCGGGAAACCGGAGCUAAUACCGGAUAAUAUUUUGAACCGCAUGGUUCAAAAGUGAAAGACGGUCUUGCUGUCACUUAUAGAUGGAUCCGCGCUGCAUUAGCUAGUUGGUAAGGUAACGGCUUACCAAGGCAACGAUGCAUAGCCGACCUGAGAGGGUGAUCGGCCACACUGGAACUGAGACACGGUCCAGACUCCUACGGGAGGCAGCAGUAGGGAAUCUUCCGCAAUGGGCGAAAGCCUGACGGAGCAACGCCGCGUGAGUGAUGAAGGUCUUCGGAUCGUAAAACUCUGUUAUUAGGGAAGAACAUAUGUGUAAGUAACUGUGCACAUCUUGACGGUACCUAAUCAGAAAGCCACGGCUAACUACGUGCCAGCAGCCGCGGUAAUACGUAGGUGGCAAGCGUUAUCCGGAAUUAUUGGGCGUAAAGCGCGCGUAGGCGGUUUUUUAAGUCUGAUGUGAAAGCCCACGGCUCAACCGUGGAGGGUCAUUGGAAACUGGAAAACUUGAGUGCAGAAGAGGAAAGUGGAAUUCCAUGUGUAGCGGUGAAAUGCGCAGAGAUAUGGAGGAACACCAGUGGCGAAGGCGACUUUCUGGUCUGUAACUGACGCUGAUGUGCGAAAGCGUGGGGAUCAAACAGGAUUAGAUACCCUGGUAGUCCACGCCGUAAACGAUGAGUGCUAAGUGUUAGGGGGUUUCCGCCCCUUAGUGCUGCAGCUAACGCAUUAAGCACUCCGCCUGGGGAGUACGACCGCAAGGUUGAAACUCAAAGGAAUUGACGGGGACCCGCACAAGCGGUGGAGCAUGUGGUUUAAUUCGAAGCAACGCGAAGAACCUUACCAAAUCUUGACAUCCUUUGACAACUCUAGAGAUAGAGCUUUCCCCU